CCUACGGGAGGCUGCAGUGAGGAAUAUUGGUCAAUGGACGAGAGUCUGAACCAGCCAAGUAGCGUGAAGGAUGACUGCCCUAUGGGUUGUAAACUUCUUGUAUAUGGGAAUAAAAUGUUCCACGUGUGGGAUUUUGUAUGGACCAUAGGAAUAAGGAACGGCUAACGCCGUGCCAGCGGCCGCGGUAAUACGGAGGAUCCGGGCGUUAUCCGGCUUUAUUGGGUUUAAAGGGAGCGUAGGUGGAUUGUUAAGGCAGUUGUGAAAGUUUGCGGCUCAACCGUAAAAUUGCAGUUGAAACUGGCAGUCUUGAGUACAGUAGAGGUGGGCGGAAUUCGUGGUGUAGCGGUGAAAUGCUUAGAUAUCACGAAGAACUCCGAGUGCGAAGGCAGUUCACUGGACUGCAACUGACACUGAGGCUCGAAAGUGUGGGUAUCAAACAGGAUUAGAGACCCGGGUAGUC
Molecule: ribosomal RNA, 460 nt
Filed under: uncultured bacterium
Lineage: Bacteria
Description: partial 16S ribosomal RNA
Rfam family: Bacterial small subunit ribosomal RNA
Source: RNAcentral